RNAcentral lists this unclassified non-coding RNA (182 nucleotides) under uncultured Cortinarius. RNAcentral's name for it is "sequence contains ITS2". The record is from RNAcentral. Lineage: Eukaryota; Fungi; Basidiomycota; Agaricomycetes; Agaricales; Cortinariaceae.
AUAUAUCAACCUUCUCUUGUUGAGUGGUUUGGAUGUGGGGGGUUUGCUGGCCUCUUAAAAGGUUUCAGCUCCCCUGAAAUGCAUUAGCAGAAACAACCCUGUUCAUUGGUGUGAUAACUAUCUACGCUAUUGAAUGUGAAGGGGCAGUUUGGCUUUCCAACGGUCCUUGGACAUCAUCAUUA